This 253-nucleotide ribosomal RNA is filed under the name uncultured bacterium. RNAcentral describes it as "partial 16S ribosomal RNA". It matches the Rfam family "Bacterial small subunit ribosomal RNA", at positions 524 to 776 of the family's 1533-position model. The record is from RNAcentral.
UACAGAGGUCUCAAGCGUUGUUCGGAUUCAUUGGGCGUAAAGGGUGCGUAGGUGGGGCGAUAAGUCAGUGGUGAAAUCCUGCAGCUCAACUGUAGAAUUGCCAUUGAUACUGCCGCUCUUGAGUACGCUUGACGUGGGCGGAAUGUGCCGUGUAGCGGUGAAAUGCUUAGAUAUGGCACAGAACACCGAUAGUGAAGACAGCUCACGAAGGCGAAACUGACACUGAGGCACGAAAGCGUGGGGAUCGAACAGG